ACAGGAAACACCCGCAAAUGAGCCAGAAAAUACUGACACAUCUCACAACAGAGUCGACGGUCCCGUGUGUAGGAUGUCUUAUCAAGAGAAGCGUCGGCCAAUCUAUGCUACAGUGGUUAAGUGCAUUUCUUUUAAAAGUUUUAACGUUAGAUGCAGAAGAAACCAACUUCCACUUAUACUAGCUUCAACUAGGUGUCUUCAGAUGCCAUAUCCAUUAGAAACCAACUUCCACUUAUACUAGCUUCAACUAGGUGUCUUCAGAUGACAUAUCCAUUAGAAACCAACUUCCACUUAUACUAGCUUCAACUAGGUGUCUUCAGAUGCCAUAUCCAUUAGAAACCAACUUCCACUUAUACUAGCUUCAACUAGGUGUCUUCAGAUGCCAUAUCCAUUAGAAACCAACUUCCACUUAUACUAGCUUCAACUAGGUGUCUUCAGAUGCCAUAUCCAUUAGAAACCAACUUCCACUUAUACUAGCUUCAACUAGGUGUCUUCAGAUGCCAUAUCCAUUAGAAACCAACUUCCACUUAUACUAGCUUCAACUAGGUGUCUUCAGAUGCCAUAUCCAUUAGAAACCAACUUCCACUUAUACUAGCUUCAACUAGGUGUCUUCAGAUGACAUAUCCAUUAGAAACCAACUUCCACUUAUACUAGCUUCAACUAGGUGUCUUCAGAUGACAUAUCCAUUAGAAACCAACUUCCACUUAUACUAGCUUCAACUAGGUGUCUUCAGAUGCCAUAUCCAUUCAAGAACUAAGAGUGUUGUUGUU
This is a long non-coding RNA of Oncorhynchus keta (chum salmon), 770 nucleotides long. RefSeq lists it as uncharacterized. The record is from RefSeq and is a predicted model, not a curated record. Lineage: Eukaryota; Metazoa; Chordata; Actinopteri; Salmoniformes; Salmonidae. The transcript has 3 exons.